Molecule: small RNA, 125 nt
Filed under: Marmota monax (woodchuck)
Lineage: Eukaryota; Metazoa; Chordata; Mammalia; Rodentia; Sciuridae
Source: RNAcentral
GCUGGGCAUAGUGGUGCGUGCCUGUAAUCCCAGUGGCUUAGGAGGCUGAGGCAGGAGGAUCACAAGUUCAAAGCCAGCCUCAGCAACUGCGAGGUGCUAAGCAACUCAGUGAGACCCCGUCUCUA